GUUAACAGCUCGGGAAGCUUGCUGAUUGUACCACUGAUGCCCAGAUAAACACUGUGCACCCAUGUUGCUUUUUUUCAUUUCAUUCAAGAACUGCAUCUUUAAAACAACUCUGGGCUCCCACCGAGGAGGAAAUGGAAGGCCAGUAAUGAUGACUCCUCGUCCAUUCAUGUCUGCGAAGUCCAAGCCUUCGCUGGCCUUCCCUCGACACACUGCCAAAAAAGCAGCUCCAUUG
Molecule: long non-coding RNA, 232 nt
Filed under: Gallus gallus (chicken)
Lineage: Eukaryota; Metazoa; Chordata; Aves; Galliformes; Phasianidae
Source: RNAcentral